AUCAGGUAGGGAUACC
Molecule: ribosomal RNA, 16 nt
Filed under: Alternaria eureka
Lineage: Eukaryota; Fungi; Ascomycota; Dothideomycetes; Pleosporales; Pleosporaceae
Description: partial 28S ribosomal RNA
Source: RNAcentral